CCCAGACUCCUACGGGAGGCAGCAGUGGGGAAUAUUGCACAAUGGGGGAAACCCUGAUGCAGCGACGCCGCGUGAAGGAUGAAGUAUUUCGGUAUGUAAACUUCUAUCAGCAGGGAAGAAAAUGACGGUACCUGACUAAGAAGCCCCGGCUAACUACGUGCCAGCAGCCGCGGUAAUACGUAGGGGGCAAGCGUUGUCCGGAUUUACUGGGUGUAAAGGGAGCGUAGACGGCAGUGCAAGUCUGGAGUGAAAGGCGGGGGCUCAACCCCCGGACUGCUCUGGAAACUGUACGGCUGGAGUGCAGGGGAGGUAAGUGGAAUUCCUAGUGUAGCGGUGAAAUGCGUAGAUAUUAGGAGGAACGCCAGUGGCGAAGGCGGCUUACUGGACUGUAACUGACGUUGAGGCUCGAAAGCGUGGGGAGCAAGCAGGAUUAGAUACCCGUGUAG
RNAcentral lists this ribosomal RNA (446 nucleotides) under uncultured bacterium. Its description in RNAcentral is "bacterial SSU rRNA". It matches the Rfam family "Bacterial small subunit ribosomal RNA", at positions 330 to 793 of the family's 1533-position model. The record is from RNAcentral.